RNAcentral lists this unclassified non-coding RNA (315 nucleotides) under fungal sp. RNAcentral's name for it is "partial internal transcribed spacer region". The stretch from base 1 to 46 matches the Rfam family "Eukaryotic small subunit ribosomal RNA", at positions 1786 to 1831 of the family's 1831-position model. Lineage: Eukaryota; Fungi. The record is from RNAcentral.
AAGUCGUAACAAGGUUUCCGUAGGUGAACCUGCGGAAGGAUCAUUAACACGUAUAUCCAAAACGUAUCAACCCAUUCGUGCUCUUUGAGUUCAGGAGAAUGAUAAAACUUGCCCCUUGUUCUUAGUAAGGAACCAAGCUCAAUUGAGUGAGGGUCCCCAAAAGAAGGGGGGGUGGGACUCCUGUUCUCUUUAUUAACCCCUUUUGUUACAGUUUUUCUGAUACCUGAGUACAUUUGGUUCAAUGGCAUUGCGCCGGCGACCCACUUGAACUUAACCAAUUAUUGACAACUCUUAACAAUGGAUAUCUUGGUUCUC